This 509-nucleotide ribosomal RNA is filed under the name uncultured bacterium. RNAcentral's name for it is "bacterial SSU rRNA". It matches the Rfam family "Bacterial small subunit ribosomal RNA", at positions 17 to 518 of the family's 1533-position model. The record is from RNAcentral.
UUAUGGCUCAGGAUGAACGCUGGCGGCAUGCCUAAUACAUGCAAGUCGUACGAGGGAAGUCCAGCUUGCUGGACGGAACGAGUGGCGAACGGGUGAGUAAUACGUAAGCAAACCUGCCUGCAAGGACUGGGAUAACACCUGGAAACGGGCGCUAAUACCGGAUAGGUAACAAAGGGGCAUCCCUAUGUUAUUAAAGGUUAGAAACACAAGCAGAUGGGCUUACGGUGCAUUAGCUAGUUGGUGAGGUAACGGCCCACCAAGGCGAUGAUGCAUAGCCGGCCUGAGAGGGUGAACGGCCACAUUGGGACUGAGACACGGCCCAGACUCCUACGGGAGGCAGCAGUAGGGAAUUUUCGGCAAUGGACGAAAGUCUGACCGAGCAACGCCGCGUGAGUGAAGAAGGUUUUCGGAUUGUAAAGCUCUGUUGUAAGGGAAGAACAGCACGGAAAGAAUCCGUGAAUGACGGUACCUUACCAGAAAGCCACGGCUAACUACGUGCCAGCAGCGGC